UUGAGAGGUUUGACGGUGAAUUAGCGCUUAAUAUUUUUCUAUAGAUUUUAGGUUUUUCUUUCCUUUCGGGAGGAAAGGAAAGUGAAACUUUUAUUAAGGAGUCUUUCCUUCCACUUCCCUUCCUUUCCUUCUAUUUUCUAUAUAAUAUUUAAAAGAAAAAUUUGUCUGAAACUACCUUAUAAAUUCAACAUUUUGCGAGAAACUACCUAAUAAAAAAAAAGUGGCAAAAAACUACCUUAUAUCAAAAAUAAUUUGCAGGAAGAUACCACUCGUCGGAUUCUGAGCAUUGACCGAUAAUCCCGGCGUUGACUAAGCACGUGGAGGUCACGUGAUCUUGUUAAACCACCAUUUUUAUUAUAUUUUUGUAAUUUCACGUUUGUUUCCAUUUGAUUAACUUCUAACCCCCCUUUAAUUGCAGCCCUUCAAAAGAACAAAACCCCCUUUUAUUGCUUUGAUGUUUCUCUCUCCUGUUCCAUAAGCUCCAUUCUUGUACUUUGUCGAUUUCCUAUUAAAAAAAAUUUACCUCUCAAAUAUCAAUUUGUUGAUCCAAGACAAAUUCAUCCAACUCCAAUUGCAGCAGCUGCUAUGGUUUCUUCACAUAAUAAGAAAGUGGGCAAGUGAAAAUAUGGUUUUCCAAAAACCUCUUAUACUCGUGACAAUUCUCAUUCUGGUAAUUAAUUUUCUUCUAUGACAUAUUUUUGGCGUUUAAACUGGCUAGCUGCUAAUAAUCACUCAUCAUCUUCACUGCUUGCCCCAAUCCUAAAAUCGGGCACAUUAGGAGGUGGCACCUUUAUGUCUCUCAACUCAGCCUCAUCUGGUUGGUAUGCCUUAUGUUAGCUAACAACAAUGCACGAGAGAAUUACUUCGAGGAAGCAUCCCGAGUUUAGAUCUUUUCAACAGAAUAGAAAUUUGUGUUAGCUCAAAAUAACAAGAUCAUUCGAUGAAAGAAAUUGAAUGAGGUAUUUAAUUAAGUAGGAAUGUAGGAUGUAUCCUUAGUUUAGUUUAGUUUUUGCUACAAGUUGAAAUAUUUUGUAAAUUGCACCUGUUAUUUUGUUAAAUAAAGAUUAGUUUUUGUAA
This is a long non-coding RNA of Spinacia oleracea (spinach), 1077 nucleotides long. RefSeq lists it as uncharacterized. Lineage: Eukaryota; Viridiplantae; Streptophyta; Magnoliopsida; Caryophyllales; Amaranthaceae. The transcript is spliced from 2 exons. The record is from RefSeq and is a predicted model, not a curated record.